This 21-nucleotide non-coding RNA is filed under the name Caenorhabditis elegans. Lineage: Eukaryota; Metazoa; Nematoda; Chromadorea; Rhabditida; Rhabditidae. The record is from RNAcentral.
UUCCACUGUUUUAGUUUGUCU